UGGGGGAUAUUGCACAAUGGGCGAAAGCCUGAUGCAGCGACGCCGCGUGGGGGAUGAAGGCCUUCGGGUUGUAAACUUCUUUUGCUCUGAACAAGGCGCACCAUGGGGUGUGUUGAGUGUAGGGGUUGAUUAGCGCCGGCUAACUACGUGCCAGCAGCCGCGGUAAUACGUAGGGCGCGAGCGUUGUCCGGAAUUAUUGGGCGUAAAGGGCUUGUAGGUGGCUGGUUGCGUCUGUCGUGAAAGCUCAUGGCUUAACUGUGGGUUUGCGGUGGGUGCGGGCUGGCUUGAGUGCAGUAGGAGAGGCUGGAAUUCCUGGUGUAGCGGUGGAAUGCGCAGAUAUCAGGAGGAAUACCGGUGGCGAAGGCGGGUCUCUGGGCUGUUACUGACACUGAGGAGCGAAAGCAUGGGGAGCGAACAGG
This 419-nucleotide ribosomal RNA is filed under the name bacterium. RNAcentral describes it as "partial 16S ribosomal RNA". It matches the Rfam family "Bacterial small subunit ribosomal RNA", at positions 355 to 776 of the family's 1533-position model. The record is from RNAcentral.